Long non-coding RNA from Asparagus officinalis (garden asparagus), 1662 nucleotides. RefSeq lists it as uncharacterized. The transcript has 2 exons. NCBI's taxonomy places the organism in Eukaryota, Viridiplantae, Streptophyta, Magnoliopsida, Asparagales, Asparagaceae. The record is from RefSeq and is a predicted model, not a curated record.
UGUUAGUUUUAACAUCUCUCUCCCCCUUCAUCUCCGGCUCCAUCUCCGGCCACCGGCACUCCAUCUCCGGAUCUAUUGAAGUUGUAUCAAGUUUUUUGAGUGGUUAGUUGAUGGAGGUUGCAGUUCUUUUUGUGGGGGAGAUCUAUCCAAAAGUGAUGCACAUGAAGGAUGACGCUAAGGAGCAGAAGCAGGUCGAAAGAUGAGUAUGUGGAUUACUUAGUUUUGUUAUUGUUGUUUGAUGCGUACUGAUAACCAUUGAAAUCGAAACUCAGGACGGAAACAAAACGACUAUGGUAACUUUUAAGACUUUAGACGCUAAUGUUUCCCCCAUCCCCCAUAUGCUGGCCAACUCCGAUAAUGGUUUAAAUCUUGUUGAAAGCUACAAUGUCGCAACUUUGAAUGUAUUCAUUUGCAGGUUCAACUGUAAGACGCUCCUCAAUAAGGCUGUCGACAGACACAAGAUCAUCAAUGAUGGCAGGUUUUCUGAAUACUUUCUUGUUGUGUGAUCGUCUACUGUUGAGUUCUUCUGAGAAGUUUAAAGAGAUUCGGCUGAUCUUGUCACAACAGCAGCCUUCUCUAGUUUUGAAUUGUUUCUCACUUCUCUUGAAAUGAGACGAGGCUUACUGGAGUUUACUAUUUUCUGACUUAAAAGCAACUUCACCAUUGGGGGAGAAAAAAAAAAAUUAUUACGACGCAAGAAACGCCAGGUGACUUCAACUCUGCUUUCAUGCAUCCAAACUCACUACAUUAAGCAGUCAAUAGAGUAGAAGAAUAUACAAACAUCGAUUCGAUUGACAUCUUCAAACAGGUUAUCGGUACCCCAUGAAACAAUUCAGUCUCCUGCUCUGUUAUCCAAAGCCAUUUUAUGAGAAGAUCCCCCUUAAACAGACUGGAGUUGAUGAAAAAGAAGAACAAGAAGCUGGAGCAGCAGUAGACGAAGAGGAGGAAGCUAGCGUCACAAUCAAUCUUCGACGAUUCACUUCCCACAUCCCUGAAUAUCUUGACUUAACAGUUCUCAUUGUCCACCAUCAUUGCACUGGAAGUUAGAACAUGAAUACAUUUCUUUCCAUCGGUAUGUCAGGCGUAUAGGAUCACCAAUUCAAAGAGAAAGUACUCAUCAGAUCCUUGGAUAAGUGUGCAAAACAGGAGAACUUGGGGAUAAGUAUAUUAAUCUAAGCGUUGUGACGUUGGCAAUGAUGAGGUCGAUGUUGAGGCCGUAGCAAAACUUUGCGGCGAGUUCGAAGGAUUCGGGUCCUCCUGACAUAUUCUGGAUUGUGAUUCUGGUAGGUUUUAAGUCUCUGCUUGAGUCUGAUAUCAGUUUUCAGAUCUUUCCACUCCUUGAGACUAGGGGGAACUGCACGUGGAAAUGAGUAUAGGUCAGAACCAAAAUAUCUGCAAUUACUGGGCCAAUUGGAAAGGAGUCUAGUGAUUUGUGGCCUACGAUUGCUAGUGCAACCAAUGUCAUUGUGUAAUAUCUAGAUUUUUCUUCAGGUGUCAGUGAGGAGUAGUAGUUUUAUUUUAUUUGUUAUUGAAAAGAAAAGAGAGUUUUCUAAAUAUGGAUCCAUCAUCCAUAUUUGUUUUGAAAGUUUUUGUUUUCCUGUGACGUACAUAUAUUAGAAUUGAUAUUCUAUGAUCCAGCUGAUGGUAACAUCGUUUUCCUUU